Molecule: long non-coding RNA, 960 nt
Filed under: Oryza brachyantha (malo sina)
Lineage: Eukaryota; Viridiplantae; Streptophyta; Magnoliopsida; Poales; Poaceae
Description: long non-coding RNA (OBRA_LNC002539)
Source: RNAcentral
AUAUUUAAUAUAUGUUUUAAUAUUUUUAAUGCUCUAUUUUAUUCUGACGUCUCUCUUCCCGUUUCUUUAUUUUUAAAAAGACAUCAUUUUUGGAUCUAUGUCUUUUAAUCGAACAUUUUCAAUUGUUUCUUUUUUUAAUCUAGCAUUUCUCAAUUCAUACAAAUUAAGAGAUGAGUAUUAACGUUUAUUUAAUCGCGUCUAUAUUUAACACACCUCUGUAGCCACAAGUGAUCCAACACUUUCUCUAAUCAUGAUUACUAAUUAGUUUUAAUCCGAUUUUAACUCAAUGACCGCAAUAUUUGUAGAUAGACAUUGAGUAGUUGUUAACCUGGUAAUUAUAUGUUUUAAUUAGUUUUCGGUUGCUUAUUUUAAGUAAAAUCCAUUACCAAAAUCAAAUAAAGUCAAAAUCGGGUUUUGGGUCUGAUCAAGCAUAAAAUGGGCUCCUACUAGACGUUGGAGCCAGAGUCAAAGUCGGGUUUCGAAAUAGGCUUCUGAUAGGAGUCGGAGUUGGUCGCGAGAUUAUAAAAGUGGCAGUAGAAAUGUUGAUACGGGUGAGAUAAUUAGAAAUUCAGCUAAAAAACUAGCCAGCUGACAAAUAGCAAUCAAGAGUGACUAAUAGAUCUACAAGAUUAGGCUAAACCCUUGCCGAUAAUCCGCCGGCACCGUUGCUUGAUCGUCGCCCCGGACAUAACCGACUUCGACGUUGACGAUUACUACUUCGGUGACUCGCAUAAUCAGUACGACGAAUAAAUAAAAGAUUACUGCGGCGAUUGCAUGUUUGAAGACAACAACGACAAUUAUGUUACACGUGUGUUUUCAUAUAUAUUUAUCAUUAGACGUAUAAUGUCACAGUACAUGAAUACAUACGUACAUAGAACAAUUCAAAAAACAAACCGGCACUGCUACCGGAAAAAAAAUGAAAAAGAAAAAAAAUCCAAACACACACAUAUAUACACAUAU